This is a non-coding RNA of Triticum aestivum (bread wheat), 114 nucleotides long. The record is from Rfam. NCBI's taxonomy places the organism in Eukaryota, Viridiplantae, Streptophyta, Magnoliopsida, Poales, Poaceae.
CAUGUACUCCCUCCGUCCGGAAAUACUUGUCCGAGAAAUGGAUGAAUCUAGAUGUAUUUUAGUUCUAGAUACAUCCUUUCUCUGACAAGUAUUUUUGGACGGAGGGAGUAGUAU